UCAAACUGAGACAAGCUGGACUCCCACGAUCUCUCUUAUUAGUCUCAUGCACAAAGGUCUUGAACCUUGACGGGUCUUAUAUCAUCAGAUGAGGCCGCUACAAUGGAUAAAGAUGGAGGAAUAAAAUGGGGAUUCUGACCGGACUGAGGCAGAGGCACUGAUCGACGAGAGGAUCGAAGGAAAGUAGGGACUUAGAUUUGGCCUGGAGCUUUAUAUGCCUCAGUGAGGAAGGGAGAACGGCAAUUACUCUGGCGGCUUGGAAGCUUUUGGAAGAGGAAGCAAUGAUCUUUCUCUCUGUAAUUGUAGGACACUUCAAUUAUACACAUGGAAC
Molecule: unclassified non-coding RNA, 331 nt
Filed under: Hevea brasiliensis (rubber tree)
Lineage: Eukaryota; Viridiplantae; Streptophyta; Magnoliopsida; Malpighiales; Euphorbiaceae
Source: RNAcentral